UCUCAAGCUAAAUGAAGGAAAGCUAACUUGACACGCUCAUCGUCUUCCCCGACAGAGCUCGUGAUCGUGCAGCCGAACCCCAGAUAAGGACAGAUCUCAAAUUCCUCCGAGAACGCAAAUCCAUGCGUACAGAACAAACCACGGUUUCCUUCUUUUCUUUUCUUUUCUUUUUCUUGAGUUUUCUGAGGAAGCGACACGAGGCUCGCACGUUAAUGUAUGAAAGAGAUCAGGUCGCGAAACCGGUAACAAUGCCCUGCAACUUUUGUUUCUCUCUUUCUUUUUGGGGGGGCUCUCUUUCUUAUCUCCGGGCACGUCAUUGACGAGGGCGUGCAAUGAUUUGGCCUUAAAAUAAUGGUCUUGCUUGUGCUAUUUUACUAGCAAGAAAAUCAAGAAAGCGGGUUACAGAGAGAGAGAGAGAGAGAGCGCGUUCGUUCUCUCCAAUGGGAGAAUGGGCAGUGAAUUUCCGUGUGUUCUUGUCAUUCGAUGCUAAGACGGGUCGGAAGCCUCUUCACUCCGCGCCCGAGUUCGAUCGACGGAUCGAUGAUCUGAUGAUAGCCCGCUGCUCGAGUUGAAUUGGGCUCGCGAAUUUUGGGGAGCUUCUUGGGUUUGUCCCAAUUUUCCUCCGAUCGCGUCUGUCUGUGGUGCACGCAAUCUUGCUGUUUCUCCGCUUUCAAAUCCACCGUUUCUUCUUUCUCGGGUUCGUCGAUCUAGUUCCUUUGUGGGUUUGGUUUCUUGGUGUGGUUGGAUCGAAAGUAAGGGACUUUUCUUGAUGAUUUUAUGCUUGAUCUGUUCGUCAGAAUUAUGUUUAUCGUGGUUUUUAUGAGGAUGGACGAUCCAGGGAUUGUUUGUUCAGGUCUCUGCUUGAACAACGCGUUUCGUAGAGCUUGUAUCUUCUACUCAUCUUGAGCUGAUGAUUGUCCCAUUCAACUUAACUAAUGCUUUUGAGAGGAACUUAGCAUGGGAAAAUGAUGGAAGCAUCUGGUGAAGAUAAUUUGUUUCCUAAAGUCCUGAUAAUAUAAGUAGAUUUUCAUUCAAGCUUGUGGAGAGGGUGAGAUUACUUCCCGUAGGGGUGGUGCUGGUGUGUUCAUCUGGGUCCGGGACAAUCUAUAAUCGUUCGAGAUGUGUUGUGAGAUUGAUAGGACUACCUGCUGAUAGUAGAAUUGGUGCUGCAAAUGGAUCAGAUAGUAUCACGGUUUCUGUUAAAGAGUUUGCACAUUAUUUUGGAUUCGAGGAUUCCUUCUCUGCAUCCAAAUGACCAAAGAAGUGACCACCGUACAGUUUCUCGUGCGAGAAAGAAUGACAAA
This is a long non-coding RNA of Syzygium oleosum, 1304 nucleotides long. RefSeq lists it as uncharacterized. The transcript is spliced from 2 exons. NCBI's taxonomy places the organism in Eukaryota, Viridiplantae, Streptophyta, Magnoliopsida, Myrtales, Myrtaceae. The record is from RefSeq and is a predicted model, not a curated record.